This 44-nucleotide ribosomal RNA is filed under the name Lactarius hepaticus. RNAcentral describes it as "partial 28S ribosomal RNA". Lineage: Eukaryota; Fungi; Basidiomycota; Agaricomycetes; Russulales; Russulaceae. The record is from RNAcentral.
AACCCUUGACCUCAAAUCGGGUUGAGACUACCCGCUGAACUUAA